Molecule: ribosomal RNA, 517 nt
Filed under: uncultured bacterium
Lineage: Bacteria
Description: partial 16S ribosomal RNA
Rfam family: Bacterial small subunit ribosomal RNA
Source: RNAcentral
AACGAACGCUGGCGGCGUGCUUAACACAUGCAAGUCGAACGAGAAAGUGUAGCAAUACAUGAGUAAAGUGGCGCACGGGUCCGUAACACGUGGGUAAUCUACCUCCAGGCGAGGAACAACCUGUCGAAAGACGGGCUAAUACCUCAUAAGACCACGAGAACGAAAGUUCUUGAGGUCAAAGGUGGCCUCUAUUUAUAAGCUAUCACCUGUAGAUGAGCCCGCGCACCAGCAGCUUGUUGGUGAGGCAAAAGCUCACCAAGGCUGAGACGGUUAGCUGGUCUGAGAGGACGACCAGCGACACUGGAACGGGGACACGGUCCAGACUCCUACGGGAGGCAGCAGUGGGGAAUUUUGGACAAUGGGCGAAAGCCUGAUCCAGCAACGCCGCAUGAGUGAUGAAGGCCUUCGGGUUGUAAAGCUCUGUCGGAGGGAACGAAUAAAGGCCACCUAAUACGUGGCCAUAUGACGGUACUCUCAAAGGAAGCAACGGCUAACUCUGUGCCAGCCGCCGCGGUAA